RNAcentral lists this long non-coding RNA (588 nucleotides) under Gossypium raimondii (Peruvian cotton). Its description in RNAcentral is "long non-coding RNA (GRAI_LNC010274)". The record is from RNAcentral. Lineage: Eukaryota; Viridiplantae; Streptophyta; Magnoliopsida; Malvales; Malvaceae.
GCUGUUGUUGUUAUUUUUGUUGUUGUUGUUGUUGUUGUUGCCACCUUCGUAGUGGCAGCGUUUAUGACCACCCAAGGCUUGGCCUGUAGGGAAACUCUUGUGGCAGAUGGAACACUCGUGAAGCCUACCGCUGCUGGUGGCGGUGGUGGCGGUGCUGGUUGUUGAUGGGUUAUCGACGUUGGCGGCGGCGGUGGUGGUAGCGGCGUCGGCGGAAAGGGGUUUGCGGUGGCUGGCUUUAUGACCGCCCAAAGCUUGAUAAGAAGGGAACGCCUUGUCACAAACACUACACUUGUAAGACAACUUCAAAGCAGGCGGCGGCGGAGGCGGUGACGACGAAGAGGAAGACCGACGAAUAACAUCAAGAUCAGCACCGGAAGAGCCGCGAGCGAGCAUGAUGAGACAAAGAGCGAGGUACUCUUCUUCGGUGGUGGGUUGAAGUUCAACAGCAGCAGGAGAGUCGCCACGUUGUCGCUUCGAACGCUUGCCUUUCUUCCAUGUCUCGACGUAAUUGUUGUCCACGUCAUCGUAUUUGUUGGUGAAAGGCGUCGCCGGCGAGUUCAGAGCUUCAAGCGCCAUAUCAAAUACUUC